GAUGAACGCUGGCGGCGUGCCUAAUACAUGCAAGUCGAGCGAACGGACGAGAAGCUUGCUUCUCUGAUGUUAGCGGCGGACGGGUGAGUAACACGUGGAUAACCUACCUAUAAGACUGGGAUAACUUCGGGAAACCGUAGCUAAUACCGGAUAAUAUUUUGAACCGCAUGGUUCAAAAGUGAGAGACGGUCUUGCUGUCACUUAUAGAUGGAUCCGCGCUGCAUUAGCUAGUUGGUAAGGUAACGGCUUACCAAGGCAACGAUGCGUAGCCGACCUGAGAGGGUGAUCGGCCACACUGGAACUGAGACACGGUCCAGACUCCUACGGGAGGCAGCAGUAGGGAAUCUUCCGCAAUGGGCGAAAGCCUGACGGAGCAACGCCGCGUGAGUGAUGAAGGUCUUCGGAUCGUAAAACUCUGUUAUUAGGGAAGAACAUAUGUGUAAGUAACUGUGCACAUCUUGACGGUACCUAAUCAGAAAGCCACGGCUAACUACGUG
RNAcentral lists this ribosomal RNA (497 nucleotides) under uncultured bacterium. RNAcentral's name for it is "partial 16S ribosomal RNA". It matches the Rfam family "Bacterial small subunit ribosomal RNA", at positions 28 to 507 of the family's 1533-position model. The record is from RNAcentral.